RNAcentral lists this long non-coding RNA (3615 nucleotides) under Oryctolagus cuniculus (rabbit). RNAcentral describes it as "lncRNA (ENSOCUG00000011232.3)". The record is from RNAcentral. Lineage: Eukaryota; Metazoa; Chordata; Mammalia; Lagomorpha; Leporidae.
UCCAAACCAGGUCGCAGAGAAGGUGGCCUCCAGGAUUGCCGAAGGCUUCAGCGACACGGCUCUCAUCAUGGUGGACAACACCAAGUUUACGAUGGACUGCGGAGCACCCACGAUCCACGUGUACGAGCACCACGAGAGCAGAUGGCGCUGCCGGGACCCACACCACGAUUACUGCGAAGACUGGCCGGAGGCGCAGAGGAUUUCGGCGUCGCUGCUGGACAGCCGCUCCUACGAGACGCUCGUGGACUUCGACAACCACCUGGACGACAUCCGCAACGACUGGACAAACCCCGAGAUCAACAAAGCCGUCCUGCACCUGUGCUAGGCAGGGCCGUGCGCCGAGCGAGAAGAAGGCCCACUUGUCCAUGUGACGACAGACGUGGGUCGCUGGUGGUGGCAGCUUCGACCGGAGCACGGUGCAGGCUUCCCUGGCAGCCGGAACCUGGCGGAGCUGCGGAGCCCAGAAAGGAGCCCCGGAGCCAUGCUGCGCGUGGGCUUGGAGGCAGGAUCCCGGAGCAAGCCUGGGACAGCCUCCUUGUGCUGCCCCUCGGGGAAGACCUAAAGGAGCAACAUGAAGCCUGGAGACAUCUCCGUCAGGUGUGGGAGCCAGGGGGCGUCCCGGAGCAGCGCUGGCCGCUGACAGUGCGGUUCUCAGCUUUCCACACCGACCUUCUGUGUUUUGCGCCUGGAAGACGUUUGAUUGUCUCCAAAACCUCUCCUCCUCACGGCACAUGUGUUUCACCAGCUCGCUGGCCUCCGGGCAGAGGGAAGCAAGAAAACUCGCCGUGGGUGGCCACGGGCGGCCGACUCCACACCCUGCCUUCACCAUUGCAGAGCCAGGAGCUCAGUGUCAGUCGACUUCCGCUCCCGGCCGACCUCAGCGCGUCUUAGCGUCGGACGCAGGAGCUCGGUGGAAGCCGGUGGGAGAGGCCAGGGCUGCGCUGCCAGCCCCAGGCGUGGCCAGGGAGCACCUGAGCGCUGUGAGGCGCCUGGAGGGCCCUGUCGCUCUGGAAACACACGCAACGUCCUGGAGCAGGAGCCGGCCCUGCCGUGCUGCGGCCUCUGGGGGGGACCGGCCCUCGCAGGCUUCUGCACAGCCGCCGUUGGAGAAGUGACCAGAGCCCGAGGUCUAGCCCAGCUUUGCAGUGGCCGGGCGUCUCGGCUCUGCUGUGCCAAGGAGGCGUCUGCUUGCACUUCGCUACAGGAAACCUCUGCCUCCGGUUUGUUUUUUUAAGAUUGAUCCGUUUGAAAGGCAGAGUGACACAGGGAGGGAAGAGACAGGCCGCCCACGUGCUUGUUCCUGCCCCCAGCACUGGCAGUGGCCAGGGCUGGCGCCGCGUCUGGUCUCCCCCAAGGGUGGCGGGGACCCGGACACUUGGGCUGUCACCUGCUGUCUCCCAGGCGCGUUAGCAGGGAGCUGGACUGGAAGCAGAGGCGCCGGGAUUCAGCCGGCGCUCGGAUGCAGGACGCAGGACGCAGGCAGUCCGGGCGGCAGCCUGACCCGCAGUCCACAGCGCCCGUUCCUGAGUCAGCAUGAAACAGUGUGCGUACUCAGCACCGGCUGACCAGACUGCGGACCCCGCCAGUCACCUGUGAGAGCUGCAUCUCGGGACGCUCGUGACGCGGUACUCAGCACCCGGGGAGGGCCCAGGAGCCGCUCCGUGCGCUUCCUUGACCCCAGGAGCCUGGAAUUCCGCCAGAGCCAAGAAACGGGCGGAGAGGCAGAGACAGGGACGCGCUGUCCGCUGAUGUCACUCCCCAGAUGGCCUGCAGGAGCUGGGUCUUGCCGAAGCCAGCCAGGAGCCGGCGCCGCGAGCUGGGUCUCGGAUUGAGCUGGCAAGGGCCAGACACGUGUGCCGUCACCUGCUGCCUCCCCAGCUGUGCGUUAGCAGGGAGCUGGAAUUGGACGGAACCAGGACUCCAACCUCGGAGCUCGGCGUGAGGGACCAGGCGCACCAGUGCCCACGGCUCUCUGCUCACCUGAACUGCGUCUCGCUGCUUCCUUGCCCGCCGUGUUCUUGCUACCAUCCCGAGGGCUCGCAGGCGCUCUAAACCCCUGUCAAAUAGCACCGCUGUUUUGGGGCAGCGCGGCGUCUGGGAACAGGAGGACUCCAUCUCCCCCUCCUCCCCAAACGCAACCGCCGACACCCAGGCCGUCGGCACUUUGAUUUUCAGUGAGCACUUACCUGUUAGGGAAGCAGGACUACCCGCGAAGUUCUGUCGGGCGGGGGAGCCUGGAAGACGGGCCCUGCGGGUGCAGCGCGCGCCCCCGGGCCCCGGGCCCCUCCAGACCCUGUCCUCUGCACCCACUCGCCACUGGCAGAGCACUGGGGGCUUCUCCGAGCUGGACGCGUUUAGAAAGGAUCCGGCUGCUUCCGCAGCACCUCGUCCCUGCGCGCGGGACAACUCGGGGGCGGGGGGAGUGCGCACCCUUGUCUGCCGUGAGUUCUGUGGCCGAGGACACGUCACCUCUCGCGGCCGCUGGAAACGAAGGUGACGACCCCUGCUGGCAGUGGGUCCGGUGGCACAUGAUAAACCAGGAUCUUGGACCGUGAGGCGGGGCCCGUGAAGUUGUAGUCUCAUUCGUCCAAAGCUGAAAACAGCCCUGGCGGCGUGGCGCAGAGGUGUGCCUCCACCCGUGACGCUGGCGGCCCGCGAGCACCGGUGUGAGUCCAGGCCGCUCCACCUCUGAGCCAGCGCCCCGCUAGUGUGCCCGGGAAAGCAGCGGGAGACGGCCUGAGUGCUUGGGCCCCUGCACCCGGGUGGGAGACCCCGUUGGAGUUUCUGGCUUUGGCUUCCACCUGGCCCAGCCCUGACUGUUUUGGCCAUUUGGGGAGUGAACCAGUGGAUGAGACUGUCUCUCUCUCUGCCCCUGCCACUCAGCCUUUCAAAAAAUAAUCUUAAAAAAAACGGGAGGCAUAUCAGGCUCAGGUUUCGGCCUGGCGACGAAAACACCGUUUCAAACACCUUCUGCCUCCUGAGUCAGUGCUUGGGCCCAGCACCCGCUCCGCCUCCAGUUCCGGCCGCCGUGUGCCCCACACUGGGGCAGUGCCUGCUGGCUCAGUGACCAGGUCCCAGCCACCCACGGGGCAGACCUGGGCGUGGGGACUGGGCUGCGUUCCCAGCUCCUGGCUUUGGCCCGGCCCAGCCCUGGCUCUUGCAAACAUUUGGGGAGUGAAUCAGCCAACCAGAGCGCUCUCCAUCUCACUGUUUCUCAAAAAAUAGUGUUUUUUUUAAAAAAACAAAAAACAAAACAAAACAAAAAAAAAAAAAAAAAAACAAAGAUCAGGGCUAAUGCUGCGGCGCAGCAGGUUAAAGCCCCAGCCUACAGCGCCGGCAUCACACAUGGGUGCCAGCUCGAGUCCCGGCUGCUCCACCUCUGAUCCAGCUCUCUGCUGUGGCCUGGGAAAGCAGUGGAAGGUGGCCCAGGUCCUUGGGCCCCUGCACCCACGUGGGAGACCGGGGGAAGCUCCUGGCUCCUGGCUUUGGAUCAGCUCAGCUCUGGCCAUUGCAGUCAUCUGGGGAGUGAACCAGCAGAUGGAAGACCUCUCUCUACCUCUCUCUGUAACUCUGUCCUUCAAAUAAACAUAAAUCUUUAAAAAAAAUAACCUCGCA